This 324-nucleotide ribosomal RNA is filed under the name uncultured eukaryote. Its description in RNAcentral is "partial 18S ribosomal RNA". It matches the Rfam family "Eukaryotic small subunit ribosomal RNA", at positions 1470 to 1796 of the family's 1831-position model. The record is from RNAcentral.
CCCUUGGAUGUUCUGGGCUGCACGCGUGCUACAAUGGCGCUUGCAACAAGUCUUGCCAACCCGAUAGGGUGAGCGGAUCUUUGAAGAGGCGUCGUGAUCGGGACAGUUGAUUGCAAUUAUUCGACUCGAACGAGGAAUUCCUUGUAAUCGCGAUUCAUCAUAUCGCGCUGAAUACGUCCCUGCCCUUUGUACACACCGCCCGUCGCUCCUACCGAUUGGGUGUGCUGGUGAAAUGUUCGGAUCGGCCGUUUGUCGCGGUUUCCGCGUCAUGUGGCUGAGAAGUUCAUUAAACCCUCCCACCUAGAGGAAGGAGAAGUCGUAACA